Molecule: ribosomal RNA, 468 nt
Filed under: uncultured bacterium
Lineage: Bacteria
Description: partial 16S ribosomal RNA
Rfam family: Bacterial small subunit ribosomal RNA
Source: RNAcentral
GACGAACGCUGGCGGCGUGCUUAACACAUGCAAGUCGAACGGAAAGGCCCUGCUUUUGUGGGGUGCUCGAGUGGCGAACGGGUGAGUAACACGUGAGUAACCUGCCCUUGACUUUGGGAUAACUUCAGGAAACUGGGGCUAAUACCGGAUAGGAGCUCCUGCUGCAUGGUGGUGGUUGGAAAGUUUCGGCGGUUGGGGAUGGACUCGCGGCUUAUCAGCUUGUUGGUCGGGUAGUGGCUUACCAAGGCUGUGACGGGUAGCCGGCCUGAGAGGUGUACCGGCCACAUGGGGACUGAGGGACGGACCAGACGCCAACGGGAGGCAGCAGGGGGGAACAUGGCACAAUGGGCGGAAGCGUGAGGCAGCGACGCUGCGUGCGGGAUGACGGCCUUCGGGUGGUAAACCGAUUUCGAAUGUGAUGAAGCGUGAGUGACGGUAAUGAGUAAAGAAGCACCGGCUAACUACGUG